UAAAGGAUACACCGGCUUAUGUCAUACACUAAGCUUAAAAUUCAAUAUGAAAUCUACUUUACCGUCAAGCUUAGCCGUUUGCCGUAAAAAAAAAAAUCUACUUUGAUCUUUGGAUUCUUUUCUUCCGUUUCAUAGUAUCAUUAAAAUAACUUUAUUUCAUUAUCUAUUACUAUAAAGUAUGGUAUCUUCACUCCUGUUGCGACAGCUAGGACGCCACGUCAGAAAUUCGAAGCCUGUACAUACGACACGUGUCCAAAAAGAUAAAACUCACCGUAUCAUUUAUUGUAGAAUUAUAUAGGCUUUUAUCCUGUGCUGCCAGAAGUUUUUUAGGCCUUUCUAAACUAAAAUUUGACCCAUUUGUAGACAGAAAACUUUACCUUCUUCCCUCUACACUUCUUGCCGUCAAAUUUCUUCAUCUGUUCAUCAGAAAAAAUUGAGGCGUAAAAAGCUGACUGAACCCAAUUGUCGUCAUUAACACACGCAUUAGCCAAAUCUCUCCACUCAUUCCACGAUUUAUCAAUGAAUGCAUAUCCCAUUAAUUUCUUUGAUCUCCAGUUAUAAUAAGUUAUGUUCUACCCCAUCAAAAUUCAUCAGUUCAAGCUUCUUAUUAGUGGGCUCUGAUGUUGGACUUGAAACGAGGAUCCUACAAGAAUAUUUAGACACAGAAUCUGAAACCGAGGAAGAUGAAGAACUGUGACUUACCCAGAAUCAAGAUCGUUAAAACAAAAUCAUAGUAAACCCUUUUCUCAGAUAUUGCAACUGUUCUUCAUUAAUAUUUUCUCAAAGUCCUCAUUAGCGACGCAUGUCACUAGAGCGAUAUGGAGGGCGACCGAGCAAGGGCGGAGAGCGACGGAGUAAGGAGAGCGACGGAGUAAACGGUGGAGAGAGAUAGAGAAAGUAGCAGGAGCAACAGAGCAAGGAUGGAGAGCGAUGGAACAAGGGGCGUUGAGCUGAUGGAGAAAGUGACCGAGAGGGCGAGAUGGACAGCUAUGGAACAAGCAACAGAGGGUGAGACGAGAGAUAGAAAACGCAAUCAUUGCAGUUCAAUGGUACAAGGGAGGUUGAUAGGCUCUCAGACAGGGUUCAUGCUUUCAAAGUUUCUGUACAUUAAGGGGUGAAAGAUCCUGUGGGGGAGUCUGACAUGACUACGUAGCUUCUCAUGAGCUGUUGCUCAAUCUCGAAGGCCUCCAAACAAUAUAGAAAGCUAGAGUAUAAUGAUGAUGCCGAGGAUAGUGUUUCAUCUCCUGCCUUUUUCAUCUGUUUCAUAAUCUAUGUUUAUACGAUAAGAAUGUCAACAACAGUGGUGAACGAUAUGCAUCACCUUCUUAUUUCUAAUGAGUUAUGAGACUUUCAAAUGAGUUGCAGUGACAUGAUUGGUGAUUUUGGUAGAUAUAUAUUGGGAUUUUAUAUAUAAUUUUUGUUCAGUUAA
This is a long non-coding RNA of Raphanus sativus (radish), 1429 nucleotides long. RefSeq lists it as uncharacterized. NCBI's taxonomy places the organism in Eukaryota, Viridiplantae, Streptophyta, Magnoliopsida, Brassicales, Brassicaceae. The record is from RefSeq and is a predicted model, not a curated record. The transcript has 2 exons.